RNAcentral lists this ribosomal RNA (497 nucleotides) under uncultured bacterium. Its description in RNAcentral is "partial 16S ribosomal RNA". It matches the Rfam family "Bacterial small subunit ribosomal RNA", at positions 28 to 507 of the family's 1533-position model. The record is from RNAcentral.
GAUGAACGCUGGCGGCGUGCCUAAUACAUGCAAGUCGAGCGAACAGACGAGGAUCUUGCUCCUUUGACGUGAGCGGCGGACGGGUGAGUAACACGUGGGUAACCUACCUAUAAGACUGGGAUCACGUCGGGAAACCGGAUCUAAUACCGGAUAAUAUUUCGAACCGCAGGGUUCGAUAGUGAAAGAUGGCUUUGCUAUCACUUAUAGAGGGACCUACGCCGGAUUAGCUAGUUGGUAAGGUAACGGCUUACCAAGGCAACGAUCCGUAGCCGACCUGAGAGGAUGAUCGGCCACACUGGAACUGAGACACGGUCCAGACUCCUACGGGAGGCAGCAGUAGGGAAUCUUCCGCAAUGGGCGAAAGCCUGACGGAGCAACGCCGCGUGAGUGAUGAAGGUCUUCGGAUCGUAAAACUCUGUUAGUAGGGAAGAACAAAAGUGUAAGUAACUGUUCACGUCUUGACGGUACCUAAUCAGAAAGCCCCGGCUAACUACGUG